Molecule: long non-coding RNA, 1414 nt
Filed under: Homo sapiens (human)
Lineage: Eukaryota; Metazoa; Chordata; Mammalia; Primates; Hominidae
Description: non-protein coding LINC01353:12
Source: RNAcentral
AGAAUGUCUGCUUUCCUACCAGGAAGAGUGGCUUGGCCCUCUGCUGAGGCUCUCAGAGGUUCUCCCAGCCUUGGGAUCGCUGAGUAAAACCAGUCAGCACCAUGUCACCCUAUGGAGACUGGCCUCCAUCCCUGGGAUUUGCUGGUAGAAGAAAGGGAAUCAGCGCUGACUGAGCUCCUACUAUGUGCCCUUCCUGGGCCUGGCACUGGAAUCACAGGAUGAAUGAAUAAGGCAUAUUUCCUGCCCUGAGGAGGCGUCUAUAGGGGAAGUCGGAAUUAAGGCACCUCCAGAAUUCUGAGGUCAAGGGAAUGUCAACAGAGCUGUGAACAAAAUGCCCAAAGCCAUGAAAAUCUACAGAGAGAGACUCGAAGGGGAGGAAUGGGGUAGGAGCUGGUGCCGAGGAUGAGAGGGGAGAAUUCACCUGGUGGAGAACUGAUAGGUGGGGGCUGUUUUCAAAGUAUUUUCACAAACGUUUGCCAGGCUGAGGUCGGGAUGGUGGAGGAGGUGGUGGAGGUGAUGAGGUACCAGAGCAACCUCGAAGAAAGCUGAGAGGCAGGAGACCGCCAAAGGCAAACUUGGAACACCUGGUGACUCCGACUAACUCUCCAUGUGGUGUCCUUGAGGACUUUUAUGAUACUGCUACCACUGCUAAUAGUAAUAAAAGCCACUAUUUAAUGUGUUUACUAUGCGCUGGGUGUGCAAAUAUUGUGGAAAGAGUGAACAUAUGUGCAGAAUGCUUAAUAAACGUGAUCUCCUUUUAUCUUCAAAAGAACAAUACAGGCCAGGUGCGGUGGCUCAUGCCUAUAAUUCCAGCACUUUGGGAGGCCGAGGCAGAUGGAUUGCUUGAGCUCAAGAAGUUUCAGACCAGCCUGGGCAACAUGGCAAAACCCCAUCUCUACAAAAAAAUACCCAAAAAAUUAGCCAGGUGUGAUGUUGCCUGCCUGUGGUCCCAGCUACUCCAGAGGUUGAGGUGGGAGAAUCGCGUGAGCCCAGAAGGUCAAGGCUGCAGUGAGCUGUGAUCCUGCCACUGCACUCCAGCCUGGGGUGACAGAGUGAGACCCUGCCUAAAAAAAAAAGAAUCAAUACGAUUAAUACUUUUACUUCUAUUUUUCAGACAAGGAAAUUGAGGCUCAGAGAGGUUAGGAACUUGCCAGAAGACCUACCAGCAAGUGGCAGAGCUAAGGUCCCAUCUGACCCCAAAGCCCACCCAUAACCGCUAUGCAGUACUGUCCAGGCAGAAACACAAACAUUACCCCAUUGUUUUUAUUCUUCAACACCUUUGGUAUCAUCCAGUCCCAGGACACUGGCUCCUGAGGAAGGAAGGCCCCUCCCACAUCCUUUAAAAUUCCCAGGCAUAAAACCAUGUUCACCAGCCACCGUGAGGGUAAGCCUCAGAGACAGGGACCGUGCCCAC